UCCUCAGUAGCUCAAUGAUAGAAUGAUUGACUAUCAGCCGAUGAUCAUAGGUUCAAAUCCUAUUUUGGGAG
This 71-nucleotide transfer RNA is filed under the name Capsicum annuum. It matches the Rfam family "tRNA". From Rfam's summary of the family: Transfer RNA (tRNA) molecules are approximately 80 nucleotides in length. RNAcentral also lists the same sequence under 1 other name. The record is from Rfam by way of RNAcentral. Lineage: Eukaryota; Viridiplantae; Streptophyta; Magnoliopsida; Solanales; Solanaceae.